This 65-nucleotide transfer RNA is filed under the name Temnothorax tuscaloosae. Its description in RNAcentral is "tRNA-Leu". Lineage: Eukaryota; Metazoa; Arthropoda; Insecta; Hymenoptera; Formicidae. The record is from RNAcentral.
UAUGGCAGACUAGUGCAAUGGAUUUAAAAUCCUACUAUAAAGAUUACAUAUAUCUUUUAUUAAAA